Molecule: ribosomal RNA, 469 nt
Filed under: uncultured bacterium
Lineage: Bacteria
Description: partial 16S ribosomal RNA
Rfam family: Bacterial small subunit ribosomal RNA
Source: RNAcentral
GACGAACGCUGGCGGCGUGCUUAACACAUGCAAGUCGAACGGAAAGGCCCUGCUUGCAGGGUGCUCGAGUGGCGAACGGGUGAGUAACACGUGGGUGAUCUGCCCCUUACUUUGGGAUAAGCCUGGGAAACUGGGUCUAAUACUGGAUAGGACCAUGCUGUAGGUGGUGUGGUGGAAAGAUUAGUUUCGGUAAGGGAUGAGCUCGCGGCCUAUCAGCUUGUUGGUGGGGUAAUGGCCUACCAAGGCGUCGACGGGUAGCCGGCCUGAGAGGGUGGACGGCCACAUUGGGACUGAGAUACGGCCCAGACUCCUACGGGAGGCAGCAGUGGGGAAUAUUGCACAAUAGGCGCAAGCCUGAUGCAGCGACGCCGCGUGGGGGAUGACGGCCUUCGGGUUGUAAACUCCUUUCAGCCAUGACGAAGCCCUUGUGGUGACGGUAGUGGUAGAAGAAGCACCGGCUAACUACGUG